Molecule: ribosomal RNA, 224 nt
Filed under: uncultured bacterium
Lineage: Bacteria
Description: partial 16S ribosomal RNA
Rfam family: Bacterial small subunit ribosomal RNA
Source: RNAcentral
AGUAAUAUAUCGGAACGUGCCCUAGAGUGGGGGAUAACGUAGCGAAAGUUACGCUAAUACCGCAUACGAUCUAUGGAUGAAAGCGGGGGAUUCGCAAGAACCUCGCGCUCGUGGAGCGGCCGAUAUCUGAUUAGCUAGUUGGUGGGGUAAAAGCCUACCAAGGCGACGAUCAGUAGCUGGUCUGAGAGGACGACCAGCCACACUGGGACUGAGACACGGCCCAG